Molecule: non-coding RNA, 336 nt
Organism: Rattus norvegicus (Norway rat)
Lineage: Eukaryota; Metazoa; Chordata; Mammalia; Rodentia; Muridae
Source: RefSeq, a predicted model, not a curated record
CUGCCUGACUGCAGACAUAACUGUGGCCAACUGCUUCAAGCUCUAGCCGCUAUGCCUUUCUAGCAUGGCAGACCAUGUCUCUCAAACUGUAAGCCCAAGUUGACCUUUCUGCUCCGGAAUUGCUUCUUCUCAGGUCUUGUUUCCAGCAUUCCUGGUUUCUUAUGGACCUGGGUGGCAAAGUUUGCAAACAUCCUGCUCCAAUCUUCAAUUGUCAUUCUUCUCACUGACCCAAUGGCUUCCUUUGCUGUGCAGAAGCUUCCUAGUUGGGUCCAAAUCACUUGAUCUAUUUUUGCUUCUGUUGUCUGUGUUUUCUUUAAUUAAAAAAAUGUAAUUGUG